This 423-nucleotide long non-coding RNA is filed under the name Oryzias javanicus (javanese ricefish). RNAcentral describes it as "lncRNA (ENSOJAG00000004112.1)". Lineage: Eukaryota; Metazoa; Chordata; Actinopteri; Beloniformes; Adrianichthyidae. The record is from RNAcentral.
CUCUCCAUCUGCACAUCGUCGGAAAUGACAUUCACUGAAGGGGACAUGCCGGCAAUUCGGCUGUGGUGGUGUCUUCAGUCGAUGGAGAGAUUUUGCACUGACGGGCAUGGACAUAGAUUUGCGUUUUGGACGGAAGAAGCAUCUCUGCUUCUUCAGGGAACUCUCCAGCCAGUAUUCAGAGUUCGAAAGGCAACCACCUCCAAACCUUAAGAUGUUUUGACAACAGAAAGAAAGGAGGAACUGAGGACACUAUCCAGAGAUACCCACCGGGCUACUGCAAUCCCUUUUACUGACAAAUAAAUUAUGACUAAUUUCAUUUUUUUCUUGCCUUUUUAUUGAAACUAUUACUAUGCACUGUAACAUAACUCUAGCAGAGGAUAAUGACACAGCAUGAGGUUGUACGGGCUGUACAAGACUUAAGAC